GUGAAGCCUGGCUGCACCUCUCCUAGACCCCAUUUAAGGGCUGACUGCUAACAGGGAAGGUUCUGUCUUUGCAGAUUCCUCUUCUGUGGAGCCUUUUCUGCAAACCUAGAUCUUUGGAUAGAGUUUGCUCCACUAUAGGGUCUGCUGGGUCUGGGUCUGCUCUUCAGCUUGCUUUUCUGCUUCAUGAGCUACAUCCCUACAUUCUUGAGCUGUGUGUAAACGUGGAAUGGAAGUGUCUGAAGGCUCAAGAUGGAUAGUGCAGGAAGCUGCAUAGUAUAUGAGAUCUCAAAGUUUGCAAAAGAAGGUCAUGACAACAUCAAAGAUAUUUGGAGAUUAUUCAAAUGUCAUCGAAUGCAAGAUUUGUCACCUUUAUGUUCUACAAAGUGACUUCUGAAGUACUGUAGAGGAUUGCAUGUAUGAGAAUUGCCUUGUGAAUAAAAUAAUACGGCAGACAAAAAACCCUCACAAAAAUACUGCAAAUAAUUUAUGUAAAGUUGUUACUUACAGACUUUAUGUAGUUUUUUUUAUAUGGCAUAGAAUUCUUGAUUAAAUAUUGUUACUUUCUAAGAUAUUAAGCUCUUGAAAUAUAAAUUAAAAUAGUCUUUCCCCAUGUUGGACACACUUGGUUCCAGCUGACCCCACCUUAGGGCAUGGCUGGGCCUUGUAGCCAAGAUGGAAGCGCCUUUGGAAAAAUGCAUUUAAGAAAGGGUAAAAAUGCUUCACAGACAGGGAAGAAGGGAAGAGAAAGUGAGAAACAGAGGAAGCAACAAGGUCAUAGAAGAAGGGAGAACAUAUUGUUUUAAUAUUUUUAUUUGUUUCUAAUACCCUAAUCUUGUCAAUAAAUUUUGUCCAAAUUCAGACAGUUUUAUCCACAAAAGUAACUCGUAAACUCUCCAUGUCUUCUCUUAAACAAUGUGAGUUUAAUGCUAUUUUCUCCCCACUGUUCUGCUGAUAAUAAGAAGUGGGUGAGCAGCUGGGUGGGCUAAGCUAUUGUCAGUGUCAGUGUUUCUAGAUACCAAGUAGGGUAAGGAGAAGUUAACUUCACCUGAGAUUAUGUAUUAUGUAAUAGAUGUAAAGCCUGACUUUACAUAGUCUUCCCAUACAGUCAAAAAAAAAAAAAAAGAAA
This is a long non-coding RNA of Tympanuchus pallidicinctus (lesser prairie-chicken), 1126 nucleotides long. RefSeq lists it as uncharacterized. The record is from RefSeq and is a predicted model, not a curated record. The transcript has 3 exons. NCBI's taxonomy places the organism in Eukaryota, Metazoa, Chordata, Aves, Galliformes, Phasianidae.